Molecule: non-coding RNA, 2612 nt
Organism: Megalopta genalis
Lineage: Eukaryota; Metazoa; Arthropoda; Insecta; Hymenoptera; Halictidae
Source: RefSeq, a predicted model, not a curated record
UUACUCUUUGUCGUAACCGCAACGACCGAGAUCACUUCUUAACGUACCGUGCUCCAGUCAACAUACACGUACCCUUUCCUCUGACUAAAUAUUAUAUAACAAGAAAAAAUGAUCGAAUUGAAAAAUCCACACGCAACUAUGUGAUCCAACAAUACUUAAGAACAUUUAAGCAAUGAGGAAGUUAAUAGUUCUUAUUGCGAUCAUUAUAAUUGACACCUUUGCCAUGGUCGAGUCGAAAAUGAGUCAUCCACCCAACAUGCGAGGCAACCAUUACGGAAAUGCGGAACGUGAAUGUCGACAAAUUUUCGAACCGUGUAUGCAAAACAGAAAUAAUGCCAUUUAGAGAAUUGUUGGUUUGAAAGGAAUUGUUGUCUUGAUUAUAAACUCUGUAUCCACGGCGUAAUGCAAUCCUACGAUAAGGUCAGUACCGACUGACGGUUGUUGGAUGUGGAGUGUUCGUUUCUUAGCGUACCCUCCAAGACAGUUCGCUACAAUGAAAUUUCUGUUGCUGUGCGCGAUCGUCGCAAUUACUGCUUGUGUCAGUUUCUGUCAGAACACUUUCACCACCGACACAGCAACAUGCAGCCCAUGGCUUGGGAUAUGUUAUACAUACGAUGACUGUUGCCGAUAUCUUGCCUGUUCAACAUAUCGGGCAAAAUGUGUCCCAAUAACUGGACCCAUUAUACCGGGACAAGAUCAGAGACCAAUUGGACCUGGACCAUAUCCUCCAAACUUCCCACGAAACUGAGCACUCGCAUGGAUCACUUCUAAUGCUAUUCUGAUAAUAUGCAGCUGUAUUAAUAACCCUGACACAUUGAAUGAGUGAAUGCAAUAUUUUGUAAGUAGGCUACAGAUUUAAGCAGUAAAAACAUACCAAAAUACCAAAAGAUUUUAAGAACACCAUUACAAUGGACUGGAAAUAAAUUUUAUCUGGGUCCAACUCUUUGUACCUGACACAGAAAUUCUUCCACGAUCUGCAGUCUGCUUACAACGAAAUGAGUACAUUUCGCAAUAAACAACCCAUUAAAGAAUAAUUAUUCGUAACAUAAGCGACAUAUUCUGCGCGGAAUAUUAUAUUGCAAUUUCAUCGAGCCGACUACAUACGAUAUUAUUUCAUUUCCAAACUGUAACGUUACACGACUCGAACGUUUAAAUCCGCCCGUACAAUGAUAUUGUAAAUGUCGAGUGGCUUCGAGUGCCGCGAACUUUCUUCUUUUCGCUGAAGUCUUACUGUUUAACGAACAGUUCGAUUGAAUCGAUCGAAACCGGGCACAGUAAUGGAAUCGUAUUAUAGGCAAAAAAUUGCAUGGGGUUACAAAAUAGUUGGGUUCUUUCAUUGUUGAAACCCUGCAUGAGGAAGCGAUCGACUGUAUAGUUCGAUGGCACAGUGAAACCCAUCGACGCAAAACCGAAAAAAGAAGUGCGAGCCGCGCUUCCACUUGCCCGCCGUCUACGGAAAAAAGGGGCAAUAUUACCGGAUGAUUCGGUUUUCUUCUCUGUUGUUUCCUAUUAAACGAAUUAAAGAACAAGGGCGGCUUUGUCGUUUAGAUCAAUGGAACGCAUAAAGCCUGCAAUACACAGUCAAUGAAAUAUCGAUGCAGAAAGCAAAAAGUGGCCGCUGACAUUUUCAUAUCGUCGAAUGGGAAAAGAAUGUUCGUGGUGGAUGUCUCUUUUGAAUUGUUGCACAGUUUACAGUAUAAUUGGUACGAAUUAUAAUUGACGGAGAGGAGGAGGUGGCGGUGGUAGAGGAGACCGAUGAGGGGCGCGGAGAGGGUAGGUUUCGACUUUUCCUGGUAUUCGCCGGUGAUACGCGUCCCAAAGGCAUUAUUCUGCAAAAUUAAACGCCAGACCCAGAACAUACUGUAGCUUCUGUAAUUUAAUAGAGCCCGCUUUUUUGGCCGAAAAAAGCAAACCUGCAUAUCGCCAAUAAAAUUGUAAAAUUAUAUUCGAACGUUAAUAUGCCGGCGCUGAAAUGAAGUCCGAGAGAGAGAGAGAGAGAGAGAGAGAGAGAAAGAGAGCGAGAGAGAGAGAGAGAGAGCCGUACAAGCCCAUGAGUGUAAAAUAGAAAAAUCUAACGCCGGUUAAUGGAAUAUUUUACUUUAUCGAUCUACCUCUCAACUGUAUUAUUGGUAAUUGUAGUAUUACAUUCCCGGGAAACGUAUUGCGGAUUUAUGGUUCGCGUAGGUAUUUCAGUUAAAAACACAAGGAGAGCCGCGCUUUCGCCGAUAGUUUAAUGCAAACUCUACUUUACUUUUUCGUGUGUUUUCCUUGCGUAAACGAACUUCGAGGGGUCUAGUUACUUUUUGCGCUCUGUUGAUUUCGAUAUUGACAGCGGCAUGGUUUCAUAGGUGUUUAAGAAGAUCAUAUUUGUUAAUUUUCUGUUCAUCGAUGUAUGUUGUAUAUCUAUGACCAUGAAUAAUUGAUAAUAAUCAAUCCGAUCCAAUGCAAUGCAAUGAUAGUUUCUGUGAAUAUUGUUAUUUGUCAAACAGUUCUAAACAUUUUAAUUUAUAAAAAAAUAUUUAUUUUAUAAUUAUUUAAAAUAAUUUUGUAUUUAAUAAUACUUAUAAUGUCUUUAAAACGUGUUCUGAUAAUAAACCAUGUAACAACACUUA